Long non-coding RNA from Vigna angularis (adzuki bean), 889 nucleotides. RefSeq lists it as uncharacterized. The record is from RefSeq and is a predicted model, not a curated record. Lineage: Eukaryota; Viridiplantae; Streptophyta; Magnoliopsida; Fabales; Fabaceae. The transcript has 2 exons.
UAGGAAAUGUUAGGAAUUAAGAGUCUUCAUCAUCCUAUCCCUCUUCAUCUUUCCUUUCGAGCAUUUCAACAAAACCUCCCUAUACAAACUUGAAAAAUUGAGCAUAAUCAUCAAAUCAAAGAUGAAAUAGUUUAUACAUAGGGAAAUGAACUUAGGAAUGGUUCGGUGAGUUGGUUGGAGCUCAGAUCCAUGUGAAGUAGGUUGGGGAGGGCCGAAAGGGAAUAGGGGAUGAAGCUGGAAGAAGGAGUUGGAAGUGAGGGAGAGGUUUGUGAGGAAAAUUAGGUCUCUGAUGGAGGAAGGGAUUUCGCCAGCGAGGACGUUGGAGGAGAGGUUGAGAAGUUGGAGGGAGUCGAGCAUGGUGAUGGAGGGAGGAUGUUGCCUUUGAGGCGACGAGGUCGAGGCGAGGAGGCGAGGAGGCAGUGAGGCGGCGAGGACUCUGUCAAAGGGUACCUAUGACCUUGGGGUAGUUGGGAAAGUGGAUGUUGGAGAAGAGGGAAAAGGCGUGGCGGUUGAGGGGGAGGUCGAUGUAGAGGGUGUAGGCGGCGGGGUGGAGGUGGCGGUGGGGAAGGACGCGGGUGGAGAGGAGGGAAAGGGCAAGCAAGGGAGCUAUGGCAAGAGCGAUUUGAUUUUCUUUGCUUGCUCAGUUAAAAGUUAACGUAGGGUUGGAUGCAUCUUGUUUUGGAAAACAAAUGUAGGGAGGGAUACUACUUGGGCCAUCAACGAUUGCGAGGAAUGAGAAAUUCCUGAACACGAUUUUCCCCAAGAAAAGCUUGACUGUGCUUGAAACAUUGGCCAAUCUGGGUCUUCUGUUCUUCUUGUUUCUAGUGUUUCUCUUGCCAUCUCUGUAAAAUCUGCAGAUUGGUUCAUCAUCAUUAUGUUUUUGUCAUAA